GAUGAACGCUGGCGGCGUGCCUAAUACAUGCAAGUCGAGCGAACAGACGAGGAGCUUGCUCCUCUGACGUUAGCGGCGGACGGGUGAGUAACACGUGGAUAACCUACCUAUAAGACUGGGAUAACUUCGGGAAACCGGAGCUAAUACCGGAUAAUAUAUUGAACCGCAUGGUUCAAUAGUGAAAGACGGUUUUGCUGUCACUUAUAGAUGGAUCCGCGCCGCAUUAGCUAGUUGGUAAGGUAACGGCUUACCAAGGCAACGAUGCGUAGCCGACCUGAGAGGGUGAUCGGCCACACUGGAACUGAGACGCGGUCCAGACUCCUACGGGAGGCAGCAGUAGGGAAUCUUCCGCAAUGGGCGAAAGCCUGACGGAGCAGCGCCGCGUGGGUGAUGAAGGUCUUCGGAUCGUAAAACUCUGUUAUUAGGGAAGAACAAAUGUGUAAGUAACUAUGCACGUCUUGACGGUACCUGAACAGAAAGCCACGGCUAACUACGUG
RNAcentral lists this ribosomal RNA (497 nucleotides) under uncultured bacterium. RNAcentral describes it as "partial 16S ribosomal RNA". It matches the Rfam family "Bacterial small subunit ribosomal RNA", at positions 28 to 507 of the family's 1533-position model. The record is from RNAcentral.